CGCAUGGCAUGACGGGCUGCAGGUCCCGAGCCCUGCCGCGCGGGAGGCGGCUGAGGCCCCGUGAGAAUUCGAGCGCCGCAGGGGCAGGCUGGCAGUGCUGGGGGACCCGGUGCACUCUCCGCAGCUGCUGGCUCGGGUGCUAAGCCCCUCACUGCCUCGGGCCAGCGGUGCCGACCCGCCGCUCCAAGUGCGGGGCGGGCGGAGCCCGCGCCCACCUGGAACUCGCGCGGGCCCGCCAGCGCCAACCGCAGCCGCGGUUCCCGCCCGCGCCUCUCCCUCCACACCUCCCCGCAAGCAGAGGGAGCCGGCUCCGGCCUUGGCCAGCCCAGAGACAGGCUCCCACAGUGCAGCGGCGGGCUGAAGGGCUCCUCAAGCACUGCCAGAGUGGACACCGAGGCCGAGGAGACGCCAAGAGCGAUGAAACAAGCUUCUGGUUCAAGAGUUUCUUCAGGUUCCACUACGGGCUGUUCUUCUACAGGUGCGCCGAUGUCCACAGUGCUACCUUCUGAUGAGCUACUGCUUUCAUUCAGUUUCUGAGUGAUGGUGAGGAGGAAUUGUGCCAGCUUGCUUCUUCACUGCCAUUUUGGAACCAGAACUCAGAACCUGAGAAAGAUGAAUGAAAUUUAGUGUUUCCCAUCCCCGAGAGACACCCAGCAUCCACAACUUCACACUCUGAUGCCAUUGUGUAUUUAUGCAAGAAAUACCAUAACUAAGGUAAUGUCUUGAGAUUUUUUGGUUCAAUAAUGUCCUUAAAUUCUAUGUUGUUUUUAAAGCCUAAAAGAAAU
This 785-nucleotide long non-coding RNA is filed under the name Homo sapiens (human). Its description in RNAcentral is "HSALNT0042594". Lineage: Eukaryota; Metazoa; Chordata; Mammalia; Primates; Hominidae. The record is from RNAcentral.